This 245-nucleotide long non-coding RNA is filed under the name Capsicum annuum. Its description in RNAcentral is "long non-coding RNA (CANN_LNC010020)". The record is from RNAcentral. Lineage: Eukaryota; Viridiplantae; Streptophyta; Magnoliopsida; Solanales; Solanaceae.
AGGACUCCAACUUCGACUUUUAAGAGUCUUAUGCUCCUUAAAGGUCUUAGACCUUUAAUGUCGUGCGCUAUAAGAUUUCUCUUCAAAGUCCUGCUUAAUUCCUUGUGGCAGUGCAAAAAUUUCACAGUGCAUGAUCCAAUUAUCAAUGUGUUCUAAAACAACCGUUGUCACAAGGAACGAACCAUCAACCAUCAUAUGAUAGUUAACUCUAGCCUUGCAAUCUACCCCUUUGUUUUAAUUUCUAG